ACCCUCCCUAUCCCUUUCCCAUCAGAUCUGAAUACUGAUCUUAUGGUCAAGAAGGAGGAAAAGUAAAAUGGAAGCCAGCCCUUGCAUCUUUGCUGGGGAAUAUCCUGCACUGAACUGGGCUGUCUUGAAACAGUU
Molecule: small nucleolar RNA, 135 nt
Organism: Varanus komodoensis (Komodo dragon)
Lineage: Eukaryota; Metazoa; Chordata; Lepidosauria; Squamata; Varanidae
Source: Ensembl